UACGAAGGGUGCGAGCGUUACUCGGAAUUACUGGGCGUAAAGCGUGCGUAGGUGGUUUGUUAAGUCUGUUGUGAAAGCCCCGGGCUCAACCUGGGAAUGGCAAUGGAUACUGGCAAGCUAGAGUGCGGUAGAGGGUAGUGGAAUUCCCGGUGUAGCGGUGAAAUGCGUAGAGAUCGGGAGGAACACCAGUGGCGAAGGCGGCUACCUGGACCAGCACUGACACUGAGGCACGAAAGCGUGGGGAGCAAACAGG
This 253-nucleotide ribosomal RNA is filed under the name uncultured bacterium. RNAcentral's name for it is "partial 16S ribosomal RNA". It matches the Rfam family "Bacterial small subunit ribosomal RNA", at positions 524 to 776 of the family's 1533-position model. The record is from RNAcentral.